Molecule: RNase P RNA, 379 nt
Filed under: Intrasporangium calvum
Lineage: Bacteria; Bacillati; Actinomycetota; Actinomycetes; Micrococcales; Intrasporangiaceae
Also listed under: 1 other name
Description: RNase P RNA component class A
Rfam family: Bacterial RNase P class A
About the family: Ribonuclease P (RNase P) is a ubiquitous endoribonuclease, found in archaea, bacteria and eukarya as well as chloroplasts and mitochondria. Its best characterised activity is the generation of mature 5'-ends of tRNAs by cleaving the 5'-leader elements of precursor-tRNAs.
Source: RNAcentral
UGAGUCGGCCAGGCGGUCGCGUCGGAUCCCUCGGGGUCCGCCGAGGAACGUCCGGGCUCCACAGGGCAGGGUGGUGGCCAACAGCCACCCGGGGUGACCCGCGGGACAGUGCCACAGAAAACAAACCGCCAACUGCUUCGGCAGUCGGUAAGGGUGAAACGGUGGUGUAAGAGACCACCAGCGCGCCAGGUGACUGGAGCGGCUCGGUAAACCCCACCCGGAGCAAGCCCAGACAGCGCACGUUCGAGACCGGCCCGGUCGAGUGCGCGGGUAGGGCGCUGGAGCCGGUCAGCAAUGGCCGGCCGAGAUGGAUGGCCGUCGCCGCGUCACCGGCAACGGAGAUGCGGAACAGAACCCGGCGUAUCGGCCGACUCAUCCA